This 356-nucleotide ribosomal RNA is filed under the name Babesia sp. H4. RNAcentral's name for it is "SSU rRNA". It matches the Rfam family "Eukaryotic small subunit ribosomal RNA", at positions 514 to 933 of the family's 1831-position model. Lineage: Eukaryota; Apicomplexa; Aconoidasida; Piroplasmida; Babesiidae. The record is from RNAcentral.
AUGAUGGUGACUUAAACCCUCACCAGAGUACCAAUUGGAGGGCAAGUCUGGUGCCAGCAGCCGCGGUAAUUCCAGCUCCAAUAGCGUAUAUUAAACUUGUUGCAGUUAAAAAGCUCGUAGUUGAAUUUCAGCGUUUCGCGUGUGCCUCUUUUGGCCCAUCUCGUCUCGCUUUUUUUAUUACUUUGAGAAAAUUAGAGUGUUUCAAGCAGGCUUUUGUCUUGAAUACUUGAGCAUGGAAUAAUAGAGUAGGACCUUGGUUCUAUUUUGUUGGUUUUGUUACCUUGGUAAUGGUUAAUAGGAACGGUUGGGGGCAUUCGUAUUUAACUGUCAGAGGUGAAAUUCCUAGAUUUGUUAAA